CAAAGAAGACCUCCAAGAUAACCAGCUUUUCCCUACUCCUCUGAAAAUCAGAUCUGAUGUAAUUGUGAAAGCCGCCUGCUUCCCCAGGAACAGUGUUCAUUAAGUACUUACUAUGCGACUUUGCUAAGUACUAAGGGUAUCAGGAAAAGUCCUGGGCAGCAUCUCAUCGCCAUCCCCACUUUGUAAUGCACAGAAUGCCUUUUUGCCAGUAGUUGACCUGCUCACAAUAUAAAAAGUGAAGAAGGGAGACUAAUCUGAUUGCAGCAAAGGGUCUGGGGAUUUCACUUGAGGAAUAUCAGUUCAAGAUCCACAGGGAGGAAUGAUGGCUAAGAGAAUCUCUCUCUCUCUCUCUCUCUCUCUCUCUCUCUCUCUCUCUCUCUCUCUCUCUCUCUCUCUCUCUCUCUCUCUCUCUCUUUCUCUCUCUCUCUCUCUCUCUCUCUCUCUUCAAUUAAAGAGUUCAACCAUCAUUAUUCCCUUGCACACCACCUGCAAAUCAUAAGCCAAAAGGUCCAACCUGAGUUGUAUAUGGCUUUUCCAGGAAUCAGGUGGACAGAAUCUGACGUUGGUGCCCAUGACACAACUGUGAGUGGGGCUUGGAGGGGAGCCCCGAAUCAGGAGCUGGCUCUGAUUCUCAGAGUUCUCCAACAGCCUUGACAGAAACUCUUUGACAGGUCAGGACUAUGAAACCUGAAGGGAGGCUUUGAACCUAACUGUGAAACCAUGAUCGUUGUUUACUAAGUCUAGAAUUAAGGACAUUUGCUACUAGAACUCAGGGGGAGUGACUAAAUCUAGGCAUCUGAACUAUAUAUGUGGGAAGUCUUGGGUAUCCAUCCCUAUAGCCCUGUGGUGGGCUUCUGGAGUCUGGAAGAAGCUGAAGGCAUGUAGUCCAAGUAGUAGUUGCAGUUGAAGGGAGAUUCGUAGACGGAGAUUUUCCUGGGCUGGAGGGCUUGCUGGGUGAGUGACUGAAACUGAAGGAGGAGGCUUACAUUGGUGGAUUUGUGGUUAAAGAUGCCACUGGGACUUCCAUGUGGAGAUCAAGACUUGAAAGAGCCCUUGCUGGGGGCUGAGAUGGACUUCACAGGAUCAGCACUUAUGUUGGUAGGCCAGACAAUUCUCUACCUCCUUCCUAUGUUUCCCACUUUACUUUAAUAUCUCUACCUUGUAAAUAAAAGCUGCUACAAUUUUUCUGA
Molecule: long non-coding RNA, 1190 nt
Organism: Monodelphis domestica (gray short-tailed opossum)
Lineage: Eukaryota; Metazoa; Chordata; Mammalia; Didelphimorphia; Didelphidae
Source: RefSeq, a predicted model, not a curated record